UCAGAAUCUGGUAGAGCUCCUGGAGCUUUGAGAACUAGAUUAAGUAAUUCCUGCAAGGCAAACCAAGUGAUGAUGAGCUCUCUCAGCUUCUGUUUGUCUGAUAAACUUUCUAUUCUCUCUCACUUCUGAAGGAAAGCUUUGCCAGGGUUUCAUUCAUUUUAAAGCUAACAGAAAAACAACAGAUUUUUAUAAUUAAGUUCCUGAGAAACCAUGAUAAAUACAGCAUUACACAUACUGUCGAUGAUAUUUUGGAUUUUGUAAGACACCAGAGAUCAAAACAUGCCAAAUUGGACUUCUUGUCAUUGUCUAUACAAACAAAACUCACAGACAUCAAAGCCACUAUGACCAUGCUGCUGAUGCAAGGACUGGUCAGAGUGGCCUUAUCUGAUGCUGGUGAUCUCUGGGAUUGUUUAUAUAUUGUUUGCAUUCAACAGAAGAACAACAUGGCCUCAAUGUGGGUGCCAGACCAGCUUUGGGUAUCUUUCCUUCAAAGGAUGACAUACAAUAAAAACAUAUAUGGGAUGAUUACUAUUUGCUUCCAAGAAAAAUAUUGAAGUUUGCUAUUUCUUCAUCUCAAGGUAUGAGAAAACAAAUGUUUGCAUCAGAGUGGUAAAAGAGCUAUAAUAAUUUCAAAUUAACUAAAUGUUCAAUGGCCCUUUCCUUCAGAAAAGUAAAUGCCUCUGAUUUUGUACAACUAUUCUUAAAGUCACACUUUUCUACUCCUUAGACCAUAUAGCAUUCACAGCAUUGUCUUAGGAAAAUAAUGAAUAUAACAGAAGGCUUGUGCAAAAUGUAAAAUAUGCCAUCUCUUUGAGGAAUUGUGACUUUAGCAGUGUAAUAUACUAAUAUUCCAAAAUUGUAGAGAUACUUUUAUUUUUGUAGUUUGUUUUUAAAUCCCUAACUCUUCCUUCUGUGUAUGGAAAAAUCUAAAAGCUGUGAUAAUGAAAUCAAUUUCAUCCAAUACAACAUGAUUUAUAAUGCCUUCUGUACUUUGUAUUAGUUGAGGACAAGGUCAUGAAUCAAUGUAGAUGAAGGUUUUAUUUAACUUAAGCAUCAGUGUUUUUCCUCUGUCAAAAUUUUACUUAUCAGGCUAAUAUUUGAAAAGCAUUCUAAACUUUUUUCUGUUUCUCAAAACUUUAGCUGGAAAUAUUACUUCCCUGUGUUUGGUUGAGCAGAGUAGUAGGCAGUUCUUUGUUACUUAAUACUGUUUUAACAUUUCCUUCACUGCAAUCCCUCUAUUUUAAUAGCUUUAACAAAGGUCACAUUCAGAUUAGCUCAAAUCUAUUAGAGUACACUAUAAUAUGUUGGUUUUUCAUUGAAAAUUUAUUUAGACAUCCAUCUAGGAUUUUAGACCUUCAACCCAAGGAAAAUUUAUAUGAAUACAAUAUUUUUUGCCAUUAUUUACAAAAGUAAUAUAAAGGGUUCCUUAGGCAAUUACUUAUUCAGUAGUAGGAUUUGGAACAGUCUACUUACUAUCAUGUAAUUAUUUCAAUGUGUUACAGUUUUCUUCUGAUUGUAAUUAAUCUCUUUGCAUGAGUAUCAGAUAGAAUGACUAUCUGAUUUGUGGUAACCUGCUGGACUCACAGUGUCCAGUCUGCAGGUGGAGAAAAAUAAAUAUUUUUAUAAGAAAAAUGAAGCCUUCACCUUACCAGAUAAUUUUCACUUUGUCUAAAACAAUACUUUUUUUAUGUUUGAUGUAAUUUUUCACUCAAUUAUAAAGAGUUUUCUCUUCAACAGGAGAACCAAAUCCUUAAUAAAAUCAUUGAGUUUAAGAAGUCUCAAGGGAGAGAUCACAGCUAAUGUCUACUAGUUUACUAGAGGUCCAAAAACAGUACUAUUCACUGGCAAAUACUCAGAAUAUAUUUUUGAUUCGGUUAGAAGUGGUCUGAGUGGUUGUAUGAACUUUAUUUCUAUUUCUACCCUCAUCUCCAACAAAUUCAGAUGACUGUAUAUUAAAUUUUAUCUUAUUAAACUUCAAAUAUUUUCCUGAUUUGAAAGUAAUUUUUGUCAUCUCCUCAUUUGAAGUCACAUAUAAUUCAUGAUUAACUGUGAAAAAGUUUGAAUUUGAAUACUUUCCAGUCCCUUCUUCAGAGCACUUUUGAAUGCUAGCCUCUUGAUCACUGCAGCUGCAAUUGUAAAUAUAUACUGAGCUACCAGAAUCACAGAUAGCACAAACUCUUUAUUUUUUAAGAACCUUAAAAUUCAUUAUAAUUUGCAGGUAAA
Molecule: long non-coding RNA, 2223 nt
Filed under: Homo sapiens (human)
Lineage: Eukaryota; Metazoa; Chordata; Mammalia; Primates; Hominidae
Description: HSALNT0076460
Source: RNAcentral